RNAcentral lists this long non-coding RNA (1483 nucleotides) under Lonchura striata (white-rumped munia). Its description in RNAcentral is "domestica (Bengalese finch) lncRNA (ENSLSDG00000003929.1)". The record is from RNAcentral. Lineage: Eukaryota; Metazoa; Chordata; Aves; Passeriformes; Estrildidae.
GCGUGUGUUUAUGUGUCAUUAGCGUGUGGGUCCGUGGCCCCGGUGUCUCAGGUGUGCUCAGAGCUCUCUCACGUGUUCGUUGUGUGUUCGACGUGCACACGUGAGCUCCAGGUGUGGGUCGUGUCCUUGGCUCACCCUCAGCGUGUCCAGGUGUGUUUCACCUCCACCAGGUGUUCCCUGUCCAGGUGUGUUCCCUGUCCAGGUGUGUUCCCUGUCCAGGUGUUUCCAUGUCCAGGUGUGUUCCAUGUCCAGGUGUGUUCCCUGUCCAGGUGUUUUAGGCAUGGUUUUGGUGUGUUUUUUGUGUGUUUUAGGCAUGAUUUUGGUGUGUUACUUGUGUGUUUUUGGACAUGGUUUUGGUGUGUUUUUUGUGUGUUUUAGGCAUGGUUUUGCCGUGUUCUUGCCGUGGUUUUUGUGCAUUCCUGCCGUGUUUUUUGCAUGUUUCUGCCAUGUUUUUUGCAUGAUUUUGCCGUGUCCCUGCUGUGUUCCUGCCCUGUUUUUGCCAUGGUUUUUAACAUGUUUCUGCCAUGUUUUUGGUGUGUCUUUGCAUGGUUUUGUCCGUGUUUUUCCUGUGUUCCUACCCCGUUCCUGCCCUGGUUUUGCCUUGUUUUUGCAUGUUUUUGUCCAUGUUUUUGCCGUGUUCCUGCCAUGUUCCCGCCGUGUUUUUCCCCUGUUUUUGGUGUGGUUUUGCCAUGUUCCUGCAGUGUUUUUGUCCAUGUUUUUGCCGUGUUCCUGCCCUGUUUUCGCCAUGUAUUUUGUGUAUUUUUGGUGUGUUCCUGCCGUGGUUUUUUGCAUGUUUUUAUCCAUGUUCUUGCCAUGUUCCUGCCAUGUUUUUGCUGCGGUUUUGGUGUGUUUUUGCCCUGGUCCUGCUGUGUUUUUGCCGUAUUUUUGUCCAUGUUUUUGCCGUGUUCCUGCCCUGUUUUUGUCCAUGUUUGUGCUAUGUCCUUGCUGUGGUUUUGCUGUGGUUUAGGUGUUUUUGCCAUGUUCCUGCUGUGGUUUUGCCAUGGUUUUGGUGUGUUUUUGUGUGUUCCUGCCCUGUUUUGUCCAUGUUUGUGCCAUGUCCCUGCCGUGUCCCUGCCAUGUUUUUGCCGUGUUCCUGCCGUGUUCCUGCCCUGUUUGUGUCCGUGUUUUUGCCAUGUCCCUGCCGUGUCCCUGCCAUGUUUUUGCCGUGUUCCUGCCCUGUUUGUGUCCGUGUUUUUGCCAUGUCCCUGCUGUGUUCCUGCCAUGUCCUUCCCUGUUUGUGUCCGUGUCUGUGCCGUGUCCCUGCCGUGUCUGUGCCGUGUCCCUGCCGUGUUCCCGUGCCGUGUCCCGGUGCCGGUGCCGUGCCCGGCCGUUCCCUCGGGCGGCUCCGCCGGCGGCUGCAAAGCAAAGCUGGGGGAGGGGCCGGGGGGUUCCGGGGGUCCCGCGACGGCGCCUGGGGAGAGACGGGGUCACCCCAACCCCCCCGGGACCCCCGGGGCAGCCCGGGGCUCACGGCGCCGGGACG